Molecule: ribosomal RNA, 419 nt
Filed under: uncultured bacterium
Lineage: Bacteria
Description: bacterial SSU rRNA
Rfam family: Bacterial small subunit ribosomal RNA
Source: RNAcentral
GGAAUCUUCGGCAAUGGACGAAAGCCUGAUCCAGCAAUGCCGCGUGAGUGAAGAAGGCCUUCGGGUUGUAAAAUUCUGUUAUAAGGGAAGAAAGGUGAUAGGAGGAAAUGACUAUCAAUUGACGGUACCUUAUGAGAAAGCCACGGCUAACUACGUGCCAGCAGCCGCGGUAAUACGUAGGUGGCAAGCGUUAUCCGGAUUUAUUGGGCGUAAAGAGCGCGCAGGUGGUUAAUUAAGUCUGAUGUGAAAGCCCACGGCUUAACCGUGGAGGGUCAUUGGAAACUGGGAGACUUGAGUGCAGAAGAGGAGAGUGGAAUUCCAUGUGUAGCGGUGAAAUGCGUAGAUAUAUGGAGGAACACCAGUGGCGAAGGCGGCUCUCUGGUCUGUAACUGACGCUGAGGUGCGAAAGCGUGGGGAGC